GAUGAAGAACGUAGCGAAAUGCGAUACUUGGUGUGAAUUGCAGAAUCCCGUGAACCAUCGAGUCUUUGAACGCAAGUUGCGCCCGAAGCCAUUAGGCCGAGGGCACGCCUGCCUGGGCGUCACACGUCGUUGCCCCCCCAUCUACUCCUUCGGGAUUGCGGGGGGCGGAUGAUGGCCUCCCGUGCGCCUCGCCGCGCGGUUGGCAUAAAUGCCAAGUCCUCGGCGACGCACGCCACGACAAUCGGUGGUUGCGAAAACUCGGUUGCCCGUCGUGUGCGGUCGUCGCGCAUCGAGGGCUCGAAAAAAUUGCCGGGUUCCGGCUCGGCUUUCAACGCGACCCCAGGUCAGGCGGGGUUACCCGCUGAAUUUAAGCAUAUCAAUAAGCGGAGGA
Molecule: unclassified non-coding RNA, 391 nt
Filed under: soil metagenome
Description: partial contains 5.8S ribosomal RNA, internal transcribed spacer 2, and large subunit ribosomal RNA
Rfam family: 5.8S ribosomal RNA (bases 1-122)
Source: RNAcentral